GACGAACGCUGGCGGCGUGCUUAACACAUGCAAGUCGAACAGUGGCGAACGGGUGAGUAACACGUGAGUAACCUGCCCUCCACUUUGGGAUAACUCCGAGAAAUCGGGGCUAAUACUGGAUAGUGGGGGAUGGGCUCGCGGCCGAUCAGUUUGUUGGUGAGGUAGUGGUCACCAAGGCGUGACGGGUAGCCGGCCUGAGAGGGCGACCGGCCACAAGGGGACGGGGGCAGGGGCAGGAGUCGGACGGGAGGCAGCAGUGGGGAAUAUUGCACAAUGGGCGAAAGCCUGAGGCAGGGACGCCGCGUGGGGGAGGACUGCCUUCGGGGUGUAAACCUCUUUCAGCAAGGAAGCGGUACUUGCAGAAGAAGCGCCGGCUAACUACGUGCCAGCAGCCGCGGUAAUUC
This 404-nucleotide ribosomal RNA is filed under the name uncultured bacterium. Its description in RNAcentral is "partial 16S ribosomal RNA". It matches the Rfam family "Bacterial small subunit ribosomal RNA", at positions 28 to 526 of the family's 1533-position model. The record is from RNAcentral.